RNAcentral lists this unclassified non-coding RNA (186 nucleotides) under uncultured Cortinarius. Its description in RNAcentral is "sequence contains ITS2". Lineage: Eukaryota; Fungi; Basidiomycota; Agaricomycetes; Agaricales; Cortinariaceae. The record is from RNAcentral.
AUAUAUAUAUCAAACCCUCUUUGUUGAGUGGCUUGGAUGUGGAGGUUUUUUGCUGGCCUCUUAAAAGGUCCAGCUCCUCUGAAAUGCAUUAGCAGAACAGCCUGUUCAUUGGUGUGAUAACUAUCUACGCUAUUGAAUGUAAGGGGCAGUUCAGCUUUCUAACAGUCCUUGGACAAUUCAUCAUUA